This is a ribosomal RNA of 823 nucleotides. The stretch from base 338 to 491 matches the Rfam family "5.8S ribosomal RNA".
AACCUGCGGAAGGAUAUUAUCGAGUUUUGAAAUCGAGGGUCUGUGCUGGUGCGGAAACGUACAUGUGCACGACCUUUGUAUUCAAAUCCAUUUAAACCCCUGUGCACUUUGACGGUUGAAGUUAGUAGUUAGUAACACUUUUUUCGACUGCGUAGACUUAGUACUUGUGAGUAUACAAGUAGGACGGCCUUGUAAUGGGGCCGUUUGAACGUUGAAAGCAAGGAAACCGUUGAAAGGUAGAAAGAGGUGUGAAGGCGAGCGCUUUGACUUAGUUGUAUUAUAAACGUUUCUAUUGUUAUGUGAAUGUAAUGCUCCUUGUGGGCGAUAAUUGAAGUACAACUUUCAACAAUGGAUCUCUAGGCUCUCGCAUCGAUGAAGAACGCAGCGAAAUGCGAUAAGUAAUGUGAAUUGCAGAAUUCAGUGAAUCAUCGAAUCUUUGAACGCACCUUGCGCCCCUUGGUAUUCCGAGGGGCAUGCCUGUUUGAGUGUCGUGUUAAUCUCAAAUCACUUGUCUUUUGACUUGCGAUUUGGACUUGGAGGCUUAUUGCUGGCGCGAGGGAUGACUUUGUUGUUGUUGCUCGUUGGAUUCGGCUGCUCCUCAUAGAUGUAUUAGCAGGACGUUGGUUCUCGUUGGUGGUGUAGUAAGUGUAUUAUUAUGCUGCAUCGGCGCACUGGCCGACUAAGCGGCUGCUACGGUGGGGCCGUGUUACAAUUUAUUUUGUAAUAGGACAAGGAUCCCUUAGUGGCCUUGAAAUUUGAUACAUUUGACCUCAAAUCAGGUAGGACUACCCGCUGAACUUAAGCAUAUCAAUAAGGAGAAGAA